CGCAGCGCGUCGCUCAGGCCUGGACCUUGCCAAGAGCGGAAUAGGAGAAAAGGCCGGUUGAAGUUGAAGAGGAGGCUAGCGGGGCUCGAGCGCGCGCCUGCGCACGAAAGCGAGCACGCGCGGGCGUUGUGGACGGUUCCUGGGCAACCGCCCCUCCUGCUCCGGUAGCACGCGCCCCCUCCUCAGGUCCCGCCCUUUCCCAGCCCCUGGGGUCACGUGAGAGGCCGCUGUCCUCCCCCCCCUGUCCCCCGACCUCCUCUUAGGACUAGGGAGCUCUUAGGAGUAGGGAGCUCUGUUGCAGGAAUCUGGAAAGGUUCCGUGCUUUGUGUGUUCUGGUGCAACCGGCGCGAGCUGUCACCGACCCCUGCCGCCGCGGGAAGGAGUUAUUUUUUUUGCAGAGUAAAAGCACCAGCGCCCCGUGUAGCAAACGUGUUCACAUCAUCAAGGGGAACAAAGUCUGGGGCUGAGCACACGCCUGCACCGAGUAGGUUCCGAGGCCAGCUCCCAGCCCCGCUGCAGCAUGCCUUGGGUGCGCUGUCACUGAGACCAGGGUGUUCCUGGACUCCUCUACAAGUUCAUUCUGGCGUCCCUCCCUGCUUCCCCCCAGAGACUCGAAUCAGAACAUUUCCGAAGCUUUAUUAAUUUCCAAGGGAAAAGAUUUCUCACAUCAGGGGGGAAAGGAGGUUGUGACUCAGCAGCGGACUUGUUGAGGCUUGCAAAAUGGAAGAGAAAAGAGCUUUCCAUGUCAAGCUCUGAGGAGCGCUGGAAGGGGACUUAAUCCUGAGUAAUUCCUUUACGCAGGAACAUUUUACAUAGAGAAAAACAUACUUAACUGUAGGUCAAUAAUAACGGAUCCACACAACGCAAUAAAUUCCUGGUGGAGAACAGAUGUGCGGUCAAUGGACAGACCACAGGGCUGGCUGGAGCUUUAGGAUAAGACACAAAUCUAAACAUACCUGGGAAAAGAGUUGAAGAAUUUUCUCCAUCAGAUUGGCCUGUGGACAUCUCUGUGUGAACAUUUUCUUGAUGGAUAUAGGAGGGACCAGCCCUUGUGAGCAGCAACAUCCCUGAGCAGGUGUGCGUG
Molecule: long non-coding RNA, 1084 nt
Filed under: Cricetulus griseus (Chinese hamster)
Lineage: Eukaryota; Metazoa; Chordata; Mammalia; Rodentia; Cricetidae
Description: lncRNA (ENSCGRG00015041755.1)
Source: RNAcentral